AGAGUUUGAUCAUGGCUCAGAAUGAACGUUGGCGGCGUGGAUUAGGCAUGCAAGUCGAGCGCGAACCGUAGCAAUACGGGGAGAGCGGCGAAAGGGAGAGGAAUACGUGGAUACCUACCCUCAGGUUCAGGAUAGCUAUGGGAAACUAUAGGUAAUACUGAAUAAUAUCUCCGGAUCAAAGGUGUGAUUCCACCUGAGGAGGGGUCCGCGUCCUAUUAGCUAGUUGGUGAGGUAACGGCUCACCAAGGCGAAGAUGGGUACGGGAUGUGAGAGCAUGAUCCCGCUCACUGGGACUGAGACACUGCCCAGACACCUACGGGUGGCUGCAGUCGAGAAUCUUCGGCAAUGGGGGAAACCCUGACCGAGCGACGCCGCGUGCGAGAUGAAGGCCUUCGGGUUGUAAAUCGCUGUCAGUGGGGAGGAAAUGCCAGUGGGUUAUCCCAUUGGUUUGACCUAUCCGCAGAGGAAGGACGGGCUAAGUUCGUG
Molecule: ribosomal RNA, 486 nt
Filed under: uncultured bacterium
Lineage: Bacteria
Description: bacterial SSU rRNA
Rfam family: Bacterial small subunit ribosomal RNA
Source: RNAcentral